RNAcentral lists this ribosomal RNA (663 nucleotides) under uncultured bacterium. Its description in RNAcentral is "bacterial SSU rRNA". It matches the Rfam family "Bacterial small subunit ribosomal RNA", at positions 232 to 885 of the family's 1533-position model. The record is from RNAcentral.
CGCGGCCUAUCAGCUUGUUGGUGGGGUAACGGCUCACCAAGGCGACGAUGGAUAGCCGACCUGAGAGGGUGAUCGGCCACACUGGGACUGAGAUACGGCCCAGACUCUUACGGGAGGUAGCAGUGGGGAAUUUUGCGCAAUGGGGGAAACCCUGACGCAGCGACGCCGCGUGGAGGAUGAAGGCCCUUGGGUUGUAAACUCCUGUCAGGAAGGACGAACGGCAGGGUAGUUAAUACCUGCUCUGUUUGACGGUACUUCCAGAGGAAGCUCCGACUAACUCCGUGCCAGCAGCCGCGGUAAGACGGAGGGAGCAAGCGUUGCUCGGAAUCACUGGGUGUAAAGGGCGUGUAGGCGGGAUGGUCAGUCGGAUGUGAAAGCCCCGGGCUCAACUCGGGAAGUGCAUUCGAUACUGCCGUUCUUGAGUGUGGUAGAGGAGAGCGGAAUUCCUGGUGUAGCGGUGAAAUGCGUAGAUAUCAGGAAGAACACCUGUGGCGAAGGCGGCUCUCUGGACCAAUACUGACGCUGAGGCGCGAAAGCUAGGGGAGCGAACGGGAUUAGAUACCCCGGUAGUCCUAGCCGUAAACGAUGGGCACUAGGUGCGGGAGGCGUUGACCCCUUCUGUGCCGGAGCUAACGCAUUAAGUGCCCCGCCUGGGGAGUACGG